RNAcentral lists this long non-coding RNA (562 nucleotides) under Lactuca sativa (garden lettuce). Its description in RNAcentral is "long non-coding RNA (LSAT_LNC004956)". Lineage: Eukaryota; Viridiplantae; Streptophyta; Magnoliopsida; Asterales; Asteraceae. The record is from RNAcentral.
GGAAAUAAAAAAAUUAGAAAACCCGCCUUCCUUCCUUGUUUCCCCUCUUUAGCUCUGGGUAUGUUCUUUGACCACAAAAAUCUUCUCCGGUCAUCCUCCGCCUCCCUACAUCAAGUGUUGCUUGCAUCUUUCCCUUGCACUCCGACCGCCGCCACCGAUUCUUCCCCGUUCGUUGACAUCGAUCAAGGCUCAUUUACUUCUACCCACUGGAACCACCAUAUCUCCCACUCGAUGUUGAAAUUGUCAGAAAAAGCCCUAAUUCAGUAUUAUACUCUCAAGUCUCAAUAUUAAGAAUGCAAAUCUUGAUUCUUGUUUGUUUCUUAUUCCCCACAGAUAAACCGAAAAAGGGGAAUUAGAAUAACGAAGGUAGCGAGAGUUUUGGUCCGGUGGUCGUGGUUCAUCUAUCGAGCAAGGAAGAUGGGAAUGCAAUCAACCAUGGUGGCUCGAUGAUGUAAUCAAUCGAGAAAGGGGAAACACCUCUAGCAGCGAUGCUUCCCUUGUCUGCCGCAGCUAGGGGGAAGGCGCUCCGACGGUCUCCUUGGUCGUUCUUCCUUGUCGCCAU